GCCUAACACAUGCAAGUCGAACGGUAACAGAGAAAAGCUUGCUUUUCUGCUGACGAGUGGCGCACGGGUGCGUAACGCGUAUGCAAUCUGCCUUGUACUGGAGUAUAGCCCAGGGAAACUUGGAUUAAUCCUCCAUAGUAUAUAGAAUUGGCAUCAUUUCUAUAUUAAAGGUUACGGUACAAGAUGAGCAUGCGUCCUAUUAGCUAGUAGGUGUGGUAACGGCACACCUAGGCGACGAUAGGUAGGGGUCCUGAGAGGGAGAUCCCCCACACUGGUACUGAGACACGGACCAGACUCCUACGGGAGGCAGCAGUGAGGAAUAUUGGACAAUGGGCGAAAGCCUGAUCCAGCCAUGCCGCG
This 360-nucleotide ribosomal RNA is filed under the name marine bacterium SIMO-IS113. Its description in RNAcentral is "bacterial SSU rRNA". It matches the Rfam family "Bacterial small subunit ribosomal RNA", at positions 46 to 401 of the family's 1533-position model. The record is from RNAcentral. Lineage: Bacteria; Pseudomonadati; Bacteroidota.